GAUGAACGCUAGCGGCAGGCUUAACACAUGCAAGUCGAGGGGCAGCACGGGUAGCAAUAUCUGGUGGCGACCGGCGCAAGGGUGCGUAACGCGUGAGCAACAUGCCCGUAUCAGGGGAAUAAUCCAGGGAAACUUGGUCUAAUACCCCAUAGCAAUUACUGGAGGCAUCUUUAGUAAUUUAAAGCUUUGGUGGAUACGGAUUGGCUCGCGUGACAUUAGCUAGAUGGUAAGGUAACGGCUUACCAUGGCUACGAUGUCUAGGGGUUCUGAGAGGAAGAUCCCCCACACUGGAACUGAGACACGGUCCAGACUCCUACGGGAGGCAGCAGUGGGGAAUUUUGGACAAUGGGGGAAACCCUGAUCCAGCCAUGCCGCGUGCAGGAUGAAGG
RNAcentral lists this ribosomal RNA (389 nucleotides) under uncultured bacterium. RNAcentral describes it as "bacterial SSU rRNA". It matches the Rfam family "Bacterial small subunit ribosomal RNA", at positions 28 to 414 of the family's 1533-position model. The record is from RNAcentral.